Small nuclear RNA from Oryctolagus cuniculus (rabbit), 111 nucleotides. Its record names the gene U4. It matches the Rfam family "U4 spliceosomal RNA". Rfam says of the family: U4 small nuclear RNA (U4 snRNA) is a component of the major U2-dependent spliceosome. The record is from Ensembl. Lineage: Eukaryota; Metazoa; Chordata; Mammalia; Lagomorpha; Leporidae.
AGCUUUGUUCAGUGGCAGUAUUGCAGCCAAUGAGGUUUACCUGAGGCGCCAUUAUUGCUGAUUGAAAACUUUUCCCAAUACCCAACCGUAAUGACUUGAAGUAUCAAGGUG